This is a long non-coding RNA of Clupea harengus (Atlantic herring), 849 nucleotides long. NCBI's taxonomy places the organism in Eukaryota, Metazoa, Chordata, Actinopteri, Clupeiformes, Clupeidae. The record is from Ensembl.
ACUGUCCAGUGCACAGCACAACCAGCCCUGAAUGAAGCGAGUUUGCAUUAGUAUUGAGAAAAAGAAUAGGAUCCUAUUACACUGGACCCUUUUGCAACAGAGGCAGAUCACUGGUCUGACCACCGACUCUUACAAGAAAAUGGACGGAUCUCAAAAGUGUCUUCCACUGUCCUUAUAGAAGCCUUAAAUUGUUUCCUUUAGAAGUCUUAAAGAGUUCUAAGAACCCUUAGAACCCCGGGGGACAUCAAUAACAGUGAAGGCUUCUAGAGAUGAACACUCAACAGGUCCUGAUAACAUCUCAAGUAUCAACAUCUCAAGUAUUCUGAGAAAGACAAGUAUGUAUUUCAUCUCAAGUAUUCUGAGAAAGACAAGUAUGUAUUUCCGAGCUGUUUCAAAAGAGAACACUACCAGACAGUUUAAAAAAAGGACCUACAAGGACAAGAAAGAAAAAGAAAACUUAAUCUGUUAGAGAGUGGAUGACCCAAAGGGAUUUCGCAACCGCAACCCUUAAUCUAAUGGUUCGAUGACGACACAGACCGUGAGAGAGGUUCUAAGAGCACAGACAGGGAGAGAGGUUCUAAGAGCACAGACUGUGAGAGAGGUUCUAAGAGCACAGACUGUGAGAGAGGUUCUAAGGGUGAAAACAGGAAAACACGGAGCAGGAAAACAACCAAACGUCAGCUUGGUGACAACUAAUAAACUCAGUGCAAUUCACAUACAGAAUCCUCAUUGUCAGAACACUACAUCUCUCACAGCCUGGCAGUUAGACAUCAGUCUAUGUGUGUGUGUGUGUUCGUGUGUGUAUGAAUGUGUGUGUGUAUGUGAUAAUUACCAUGGGAUAUUUGUCAG